Molecule: ribosomal RNA, 481 nt
Filed under: uncultured bacterium
Lineage: Bacteria
Description: partial 16S ribosomal RNA
Rfam family: Bacterial small subunit ribosomal RNA
Source: RNAcentral
UUGCACGCUGGCGGCAUGCCUUACACAUGCAAGUCGCACGGUAACAGGUCUUCGGAUGCUGACGAGUGGCGAACGGGUGAGUAAUACAUCGGAACGUGCCCGAUCGUGGGGGAUAACGGAGCGAAAGCUUUGCUAAUACCGCAUACGAUCUACGGAUGAAAGCAGGGGACCGCAAGGCCUUGCGCGGACGGAGCGGCCGAUGGCAGAUUAGGUAGUUGGUGGGAUAAAAGCUUACCAAGCCGACGAUCUGUAGCUGGUCUGAGAGGACGACCAGCCACACUGGGACUGAGACACGGCCCAGACUCCUACGGGAGGCAGCAGUGGGGAAUUUUGGACAAUGGGCGAAAGCCUGAUCCAGCCAUGCCGCGUGCAGGAUGAAGGCCUUCGGGUUGUAAACUGCUUUUGUACGGAACGAAAAGACUCUUUCUAAUAAAGAGGGUCCAUGACGGUACCGUAAGAAUAAGCACCGGCUAACUACGUG